GGGUUGUGAGGUUAAGCGACUAAGCGUACACGGUGGAUGCCCUGGCAGUCAGAGGCGAUGAAGGACGUGCUAAUCUGCGAUAAGCGUCGGUAAGGUGAUAUGAACCGUUAUAACCGGCGAUUUCCGAAUGGGGAAACCCAGUGUGAUUCGUCACACUAUCAUUAACUGAAUCCAUAGGUUAAUGAGGCGAACCGGGGGAACUGAAACAUCUAAGUACCCCGAGGAAAAGAAAUCAACCGAGAUUCCCCCAGUAGCGGCGAGCGAACGGGGAGCAGCCCAGAGCCUGAAUCAGUGUGUGUGUUAGUGGAAGCGUCUGGAAAGGCGUGCGAUACAGGGUGACAGCCCCGUACACAAAAAUGCACAUACUGUGAGCUCGAUGAGUAGGGCGGGACACGUGGUAUCCUGUCUGAAUAUGGGGGGACCAUCCUCCAAGGCUAAAUACUCCUGACUGACCGAUAGUGAACCAGUACCGUGAGGGAAAGGCGAAAAGAACCCCGGCGAGGGGAGUGAAAAAGAACCUGAAACCGUGUACGUACAAGCAGUGGGAGCACGCUUAGGCGUGUGACUGCGUACCUUUUGUAUAAUGGGUCAGCGACUUAUAUUCUGUAGCAAGGUUAACCGAAUAGGGGAGCCGAAGGGAAACCGAGUCUUAACUGGGCGUUAAGUUGCAGGGUAUAGACCCGAAACCCGGUGAUCUAGCCAUGGGCAGGUUGAAGGUUGGGUAACACUAACUGGAGGACCGAACCGACUAAUGUUGAAAAAUUAGCGGAUGACUUGUGGCUGGGGGUGAAAGGCCAAUCAAACCGGGAGAUAGCUGGUUCUCCCCGAAAGCUAUUUAGGUAGCGCCUCGUGAAUUCAUCUCCGGGGGUAGAGCACUGUUUCGGCAAGGGGGUCAUCCCGACUUACCAACCCGAUGCAAACUGCGAAUACCGGAGAAUGUUAUCACGGGAGACACACGGCGGGUGCUAACGUCCGUCGUGAAGAGGGAAACAACCCAGACCGCCAGCUAAGGUCCCAAAGUCAUGGUUAAGUGGGAAACGAUGUGGGAAGGCCCAGACAGCCAGGAUGUUGGCUUAGAAGCAGCCAUCAUUUAAAGAAAGCGUAAUAGCUCACUGGUCGAGUCGGCCUGCGCGGAAGAUGUAACGGGGCUAAACCAUGCACCGAAGCUGCGGCAGCGACGCUUAUGCGUUGUUGGGUAGGGGAGCGUUCUGUAAGCCUGUGAAGGUGUGCUGUGAGGUAUGCUGGAGGUAUCAGAAGUGCGAAUGCUGACAUAAGUAACGAUAAAGCGGGUGAAAAGCCCGCUCGCCGGAAGACCAAGGGUUCCUGUCCAACGUUAAUCGGGGCAGGGUGAGUCGACCCCUAAGGCGAGGCCGAAAGGCGUAGUCGAUGGGAAACAGGUUAAUAUUCCUGUACUUGGUGUUACUGCGAAGGGGGGACGGAGAAGGCUAUGUUGGCCGGGCGACGGUUGUCCCGGUUUAAGCGUGUAGGCUGGUUUUCCAGGCAAAUCCGGAAAAUCAAGGCCGAGGCGUGAUGACGAGGCACUACGGUGCUGAAGCAACAAAUGCCCUGCUUCCAGGAAAAGCCUCUAAGCAUCAGGUAACAUCAAAUCGUACCCCAAACCGACACAGGUGGUCAGGUAGAGAAUACCAAGGCGCUUGAGAGAACUCGGGUGAAGGAACUAGGCAAAAUGGUGCCGUAACUUCGGGAGAAGGCACGCUGAUACGUAGGUGAAGCGACUUGCUCGUGGAGCUGAAAUCAGUCGAAGAUACCAGCUGGCUGCAACUGUUUAUUAAAAACACAGCACUGUGCAAACACGAAAGUGGACGUAUACGGUGUGACGCCUGCCCGGUGCCGGAAGGUUAAUUGAUGGGGUUAGCGCAAGCGAAGCUCUUGAUCGAAGCCCCGGUAAACGGCGGCCGUAACUAUAACGGUCCUAAGGUAGCGAAAUUCCUUGUCGGGUAAGUUCCGACCUGCACGAAUGGCGUAAUGAUGGCCAGGCUGUCUCCACCCGAGACUCAGUGAAAUUGAACUCGCUGUGAAGAUGCAGUGUACCCGCGGCAAGACGGAAAGACCCCGUGAACCUUUACUAUAGCUUGACACUGAACAUUGAGCCUUGAUGUGUAGGAUAGGUGGGAGGCUUUGAAGUGUGGACGCCAGUCUGCAUGGAGCCGACCUUGAAAUACCACCCUUUAAUGUUUGAUGUUCUAACGUGGACCCGUGAUCCGGGUUGCGGACAGUGUCUGGUGGGUAGUUUGACUGGGGCGGUCUCCUCCUAAAGAGUAACGGAGGAGCACGAAGGUUGGCUAAUCCUGGUCGGACAUCAGGAGGUUAGUGCAAUGGCAUAAGCCAGCUUGACUGCGAGCGUGACGGCGCGAGCAGGUGCGAAAGCAGGUCAUAGUGAUCCGGUGGUUCUGAAUGGAAGGGCCAUCGCUCAACGGAUAAAAGGUACUCCGGGGAUAACAGGCUGAUACCGCCCAAGAGUUCAUAUCGACGGCGGUGUUUGGCACCUCGAUGUCGGCUCAUCACAUCCUGGGGCUGAAGUAGGUCCCAAGGGUAUGGCUGUUCGCCAUUUAAAGUGGUACGCGAGCUGGGUUUAGAACGUCGUGAGACAGUUCGGUCCCUAUCUGCCGUGGGCGCUGGAGAACUGAGGGGGGCUGCUCCUAGUACGAGAGGACCGGAGUGGACGCAUCACUGGUGUUCGGGUUGUCAUGCCAAUGGCACUGCCCGGUAGCUAAAUGCGGAAGAGAUAAGUGCUGAAAGCAUCUAAGCACGAAACUUGCCCCGAGAUGAGUUCUCCCUGACCCUUUAAGGGUCCUGAAGGAACGUUGAAGACGACGACGUUGAUAGGCCGGGUGUGUAA
Molecule: ribosomal RNA, 2860 nt
Filed under: Shigella flexneri
Lineage: Bacteria; Pseudomonadati; Pseudomonadota; Gammaproteobacteria; Enterobacterales; Enterobacteriaceae
Description: partial 23S ribosomal RNA
Rfam family: Bacterial large subunit ribosomal RNA
Source: RNAcentral